CAGGAUUCGAUCUAUCCGUCAGUCCAUGGCUACCUCCCUUUCUGUCUCCAACUUCCUCUCCUUCCUCUCGCCCUCAAACCCACCUCCCAAAACCUCACCUCAACUCUCAUUCUCUUCUCCACCAACUCAAUUUUUAUCUCAAAAAUCGAAGGAUAAGUUUAUUCCACUGGUGGCCCAAGAGGGUCACUCCGGUUCUUUAUCCGCUGAAUUGUCCUCGGUUAUCUGCCCAUCUCUUGCAUAUGCGAAUACCCUUUUCUUCAAAUCGGCUUACAAUGUGCAGGUUAUUGUGGAUGAUAAUGAGCCUGAAGAGAGGCUGUUAAUAAGGUUCAGAAGAGAGGUCAUGAGGGCUGGUGUCAUUCAAGAAUGUAAGAGGAGGAGAUUCUUUGAGAACAAACAUGACGAAAAGAAACGCAAGUCCCGUGAAGCCGCUAAGCGUAACAAGAAAAGGUAUGUCUUGUUCUCUUGUUCUUUUGAUUUUCUUCUUAUUGUUUGUUUGGCUGAGUGAAUUUGAAGGAAAGUAAAGAAUUGUAAGAUUCAACAUAUUACUUAUGCAUUGAGCUGAGUGUAAUGUGAAAUUGCCUGUUAGAUAUUGUCUGGUUGUUGAGGACUUUGACAAAGAAAUUGUUUUCAGGAAUAUUAUUAAAUGUAUCUCAGGUAUUAUUAAAUGUAUCUCAGGCUUAGUGAUUUGUAGAAUUGCGCUUUUAUUAUUAUUAUUUUUAUUUUUGGCGUUUGGAUGCUGAGAAAAUGAGGAGCUAGAAAGACAUUAAAAGAAGAGGAGAGUGUUUUAAGUGAUAUGAUCUGUUGGUAUCUAUGAGAUGAGAAAUUUGUAGAAUUCUAGCUUAGAUUAGAUAAUGGCAGAGAUCAUUUGCGUGCUGGUAAGAUCAAGGAAAGGAAAAGCAAAUGCUUUUGUUGGUUAGACAAAAUAUGGCCAAAAACUUGUUUUCUUUGGCUGUAGAGUGGGAAAAUCUGAGUGAAAAGCAAUAUAACUUCUCUCUUGUUUUAGCACCCAUAGCUUUGGAUUUAAUGUGGUUUCUCAUUUCUAUUGUUCUACCUGUGAUGGAUUUGUUUUAUUUUCUAUCUGCUAGAAAUAGAGGGCGUUGGUAUGUAAUUAAGCUCCUUUUUCAUCAUUUAAAUUCAAUAGCAAUUUCGAUUUUCACAAUGAUUUGUGUUUGAAUUGAGGUUUGCUGACCUAACCUCAUUAACAAUAUUGUAUGCUUGUACACAUUGCACUCUCAAUUGGGCAAAUAAUCAGUCAUCUACCGAGUUCGUUAAUAACGAUUUAAAAGAAAAUCUUGCGAGCAUUUUGCAAGAGUAUUGUUCAAUUCUUUGAUUAUUAUAGUUAUGUUACAAAUCUUUUGUAUGGGAUGAACUAGAGAUGCAUUUGCAGUUUGCUCUCAAGAUUUUGAUAUCUGCAUUUUGUAAGUUUUCCUGCUUCGAAAUGUGUAUUAUGUUAGCUGUUAUAUUGCAACUUGUUAUGGCUUUUCUAAUGUCUUUUGCCAUGAAAUUUAGUAAUGCUGAUACGAGCAUUGGCCGAGCAACAACUGAGAAGCAAUUUUUUAUUAGGCUUUUGUUUUUCUGAGUGGGAAACAUUUGCUUCUUUAUUGUGCUCUAUUCCCUUCAUUCUUUUUAUACAACCUUUUUUUUUCUAUCAAGAAAAUAUUAUUGUUAGGUCAGUAAUGAAAGUGGAUAUUUGUUGCUGAUUAUUCUUGCUGCCAGGCGCCUCCAAUCAAGACCUACAAUGCAAAACAAGCAGGAAAUAUCCACAAGCAAGAAGGAUAAAGAUGACGAAGAUAAUUGGGAGAUGCCUGAAGGAGACCUUUCUUAUUAAACAUUUCACCUUGUUUAUGUUAGUAGUAUGCCCUAGAGUAUAUUUUGAAAGUUGUAUCUUGUAAACUUUUAUUCCCUUUUAAUGACAUGUAUAUUUUCUUUUAAUAUAAAUUAUUUAUAUUUAAUUGAAAAUGUCCUUAAACAACUUGUUAAAUGUUCUAUUCUUAAGGUGUUAAGAAUAUGAGUGACAGAACAUACAUGCACAAGUAUUAUAAAUGUGGUUCGCAAUUGAGGAUACUUCAUAAGGGGCAUGACUUAUCUGGAAAUAUUGUCAUUUAUGUUUGUGUUCAUAG
This 2120-nucleotide unclassified non-coding RNA is filed under the name Hevea brasiliensis (rubber tree). Lineage: Eukaryota; Viridiplantae; Streptophyta; Magnoliopsida; Malpighiales; Euphorbiaceae. The record is from RNAcentral.